This 1332-nucleotide ribosomal RNA is filed under the name uncultured bacterium. RNAcentral's name for it is "bacterial SSU rRNA". It matches the Rfam family "Bacterial small subunit ribosomal RNA". The record is from RNAcentral.
AGUCGAACGAAGUCUUCGGACUUAGUGGCGGACGGGUGAGUAACGCGUGGGAAUCUGCCUUCAGGAGGGGGAUAACAGAGGGAAACCUUUGCUAAUACCCCAUAUGCCUAUGGGUGAAAUGAAUUUCGCCUGAAGAUGAGCCCGCGUCUGAUUAGCUAGUUGGUGGGGUAAAGGCCUACCAAGGCGACGAUCAGUAGCUGGUCUGAGAGGAUGAUCAGCCACACUGGGACUGAGACACGGCCCAGACUCCUACGGGAGGCAGCAGUGGGGAAUUUUCCGCAAUGGGCGAAAGCCUGACGGAGCAACGCCGCGUGAGUGAUGAAGGCCCUUGGGUCGUAAAGCUCUUUUGUCAGGGACGAUAAUGACGGUACCUGAUGAAUAAGCAUCGGCUAACUCUGUGCCAGCAGCCGCGGUAAUACAGAGGAUGCAAGCGUUAUCCGGAAUUAUUGGGCAUAAAGCGUACGUAGGUGGCGAUUCAAGUCUGUGGUUGAAGCCUGCAGCUCAACUGCAGAAAGGCCAUGGAAACUGAAACGCUAGAGUGCGAUAGAGGUAAGGGGAAUUCCCGGUGUAGCGGUGAAAUGUGGAGAUAUCGGGAAGAACACCAGCGGCGAAAGCGCCUUACUGGGUCGCAACUGACACUGAGGUACGAAAGCCAGGGGAGCAAAUGGGAUUAGAUACCCCAGUAGUCCUGGCCGUAAACGAUGGACACUAGGUGUUGCGCGUAUCGACCCGUGCAGUGCCGUAGCUAACGCGUUAAGUGUCCCGCCUGGGGAGUACGCACGCAAGUGUGAAACUCAAAGGAAUUGACGGGGGCCCGCACAAGCGGUGGAGCAUGUGGUUUAAUUCGAUGCAACGCGAAGAACCUUACCAGGGCUUGACAUACCGUGAGUUCUGGGGAAACUCGGAAGUGCCUUCGGGAACAUGGAUACAGGUGCUGCAUGGCUGUCGUCAGCUCGUGUCGUGAGAUGUUGGGUUAAGUCCCGCAACGAGCGCAACCCUCGUUUUCAGUUGCCAUCAUUAAGUUGGGCACUCUGGAGAGACUGCCGGUGACAAACCGGAGGAAGGUGGGGAUGACGUCAAGUCAGCAUGGCUCUUACGUCCUGGGCUACACACGUGCUACAAUGGGUCGGAUAAAGGGUAGCAAUCUCGCGAGAGGGAGCCAAUCCCAAAAACCGCCUCUCAGUUCGGAUUGUAGGCUGCAACUCGCCUACAUGAAGUCGGAAUCGCUAGUAAUCGCAGGUCAGCAUACUGCGGUGAAUACGUUCCCGGGCCUUGUACACACCGCCCGUCACACCAUGGAAGCUGGUCAUGCCCGAAGUCUGUAUUCUAACC